CACCGCGGUUAUACGGGUGACCCAAAUUGAUAGAUACGGCGUAAAGAGUGGUUUAGGGUAACAACAAAUAAAGCCAAAGAUCCCCCCUGCUGUUGCAAGCAUUCGAGGACAAGAAGCCCCCUCACGAAAGUAGCUUUAUUCUCAUUUUCCUGACCCCACGAAAGCUAAGGAA
Molecule: ribosomal RNA, 172 nt
Filed under: Markiana nigripinnis
Lineage: Eukaryota; Metazoa; Chordata; Actinopteri; Characiformes; Stevardiidae
Description: partial 12S rRNA
Source: RNAcentral